Molecule: RNA transcript, 830 nt
Organism: Osmia bicornis bicornis
Lineage: Eukaryota; Metazoa; Arthropoda; Insecta; Hymenoptera; Megachilidae
Exons: 4
Source: RefSeq, a predicted model, not a curated record
CUUCAUACAAUUUAAAUCCACCGCGCUCUCGCCAACUUGAACGUCUGCUCCGUGUAUCGAAGUUACUGACAGGUUACAUAAAUCCGAAAACAUGGUGAAAAUUUUAAGGGAUCUGCUCUUUAGACCAGAUCUCAGAAAGGUUCAAAAUGAAUCUUUAGCUAAUCAAAUAAAGUAUUUUUGGCGUAAAGGAUGGGAGGAAAUGCCAGAACUUAUGGUACUUAUAUCUCCUACUAUAGUGACUCUAUUCGUAACAGUGCACGUUAUUCGUAAACAAUUAGAAGAGAAGGAUAAACUGCCACGAUAUUAUAAUGAAUAUACCGUUUUCAGACCUAACAAUCCUAAGGUUCCAAGAAUUAGAACAGAUGAUUAUUUGUCAAUUGAAGAGCCGCAACACACUAUGUCUUAAGAAAAACAAUUUAACCCUAGAAUUAAAUAGUAUAUCAAAGUGAAUCAGUGUUAUUCAUGUAUAGUCCAUAAGAUUCUUUAAUCAUUCUUCGAAGAAAUAAAACAAAUUAUUAAUAAAGGAGAUUAAUCCUAGUUUAAUAUGAUUUCUAAAACUUGCAAAAUUCUACAUAUAUAAUUAUAAUAUAAUGAAAACACUUUAUGUAUAAUAACAUUAUAGUUCAUCUUUUAUAUGGCAUCUUCUUACUAUAUGGACAAAUUCAAUGAACCAAUCUUGCAUAAGUAAUUAAAAGAGACAACGUAUGUUAGUGCAAAUUAACAAGUUCAGAGGUUUAUAUUUAGCCUCUUUAUCUAUAAAAGAAGAGGCAUUAGCUUGAAUGUAACAGGAAACCAUUUCAGAUGGUUGUACCUAUAUUCGAGAAGGUCAA